AUUGAACGCUGGCGGCGUGCCUAACACAUGCAAGUCGAACGGUGAAGGUGAGCUUGCUCACUGGAACAGUGGCGCACGGGUGAGUAACGCGUGGAUGAUCUACCCAUCAGUUUGGGACAACAGUUGGAAACGACUGCUAAUACCGGAUACGGUACCAUUUCGAAGUUGGUAUUAAAGGCGGCCUCUGCUUGCAAGCUGUCGCUGAUGGAUGAGUCCGCGUCUCAUUAGGUAGACGGUGGGGUAACGGCCUACCGUGCCGACGAUGAGUAGCCGACCUGAGAGGGUAAUCGGCCACACUGGGACUGGAACACGGCCCAGACUCCUACGGGAGGCAGCAGUGGGGAAUAUUGCGCAAUGGGCGAAAGCCUGACGCAGCGACGCCGCGUGAGGGAAGACGGUCUUCGGAUUGUAAACCUCUGUCUUCGGUGACGAAACAAGACGGUAGCCGAGGAGGAAGCCACGGCUAACUACGUGCCAGCCGCCGCGGUAAUAC
Molecule: ribosomal RNA, 493 nt
Filed under: uncultured bacterium
Lineage: Bacteria
Description: bacterial SSU rRNA
Rfam family: Bacterial small subunit ribosomal RNA
Source: RNAcentral